Molecule: long non-coding RNA, 2796 nt
Organism: Equus asinus (donkey)
Lineage: Eukaryota; Metazoa; Chordata; Mammalia; Perissodactyla; Equidae
Source: Ensembl
AGGACAAAAAUUUGAUUUAAUAUUUCCGCAGAUGCCAAGUCUUUGGUUGAAAACGCAAAAUGUAUAAAAUCUCCAAUUUGGUGGGCUAACAAGAUCUCAGUCUUGGGGCAUGUGUUGGCUAUCCAGAGAUUUACUGUAGCAAACACCUGUGAAAGAUAAAGGGGCGAGGUCACGGGAGCAGUUAGAGAGAAAUGUCAGAACCUGCUGCAGCUCUGACACCUGUGAAACGAGAGGGAGGAGGAAGAAGGUUCUGGAGGCAGAACCUCAGAUCGCAAUGCAGCUCUGAGAAAGUCUGAAUCAGGCUGAUGGGGAGUUUCAGAGCAAAGAUCGCCGGGUAGAGGACUCUUGUGUUGGCCAGGAACCGCCAUCUCCCCUAGCCCUGUGGGGCCCAGUCGUUGACUGGGGGCAACCUGGGAAGAGAGUGGCUCCAUGAGAAUGCCGGGACAGAUCUAAUAGAAGCGGCAGCUGACGGUGGCCAGCUAGCUACAUUCCUUGCAGCAAGUUCUGUCUUGAAAGAUUUGAGCAGUGUACUUCCAUAGAGGUCACAGAAGGUGAUAGGAGCCAAAGCAGUCCAGCAGCUCAGAAGAAAUCAUUGAAGAAAGUUGCAGGUACAAGCCCUUAGAAGCAAAGCACCCAGAAGCUGGGGGAUGGAUGCUCAGGACUGGUCUGUUUUCUGGGAAGCCCUCAGAACACUUCAACUGCUGUGAAGCCACUUCUGUGAGCAAACUGGAGGGAGUGGUUCUGCCCGUCGAAUCAUAGAAGCCCAAAGCCGCCUGUAAGAAUGUUGGGCUCACGGGCAGCUGAGCUGCUACCUGGCCUUGCGAUGGCGCAUGCGCGGAACAGCAAGAAACGUAACGGAGAGGGAAAAACACGCACCUGAAAUGAAGCAAAGACUUCCGAUAGAUAACUAAUUAGCAUUAACAUUUUAAUUGAAAACUCCUGGAAAACAAUGAAAAUUGAUAGCCCCUGAAUUUACUCUUAUGUAAAGUGUUAAUCAGGGAACUCUGAAGAAGUCUUUUGUUUGUAUUAAUUUUGUUUUUUAAGUACAUGAAUGAAAUCCUCUAAGUUUGACCUCUUACACUAUAUGGUUUUCAUUCUAAAUGUACAAGUAGAAGCUGACUCAUGAAGUUAUAUGUAGCGUCCAUGAAAACAGUGUGUUAGGAGGCUGCCAUCUUAUUAUUUUCAUAUUUAUUUAAAAUGUAUAUAAAUGUAUUUAUUUUUAAAUAUAAAUAUUUUUAUUUAAAUAUAUUUUAAAUGCAUCAAUCCGCAUCCUAACUCGUAGUUCAGAGAGAUGGUACGGAAACAGUUUUGUGUUCGCUCACUUGAACAAGCCACCUCCAAUUCUUCUGGGAAGAAGGCACACAUAAUCAAACACGUAAAUGAAGAAAUGGAUGCUAGCUUAAACAAAAAUAGGCAAUUUGAGCCUGUGCUGACAUCAUAACAAAAUUGAUGUUAUUUUACUCAGGCUUUAUUUUCCGUGGAUCACUGACUCGUCAAAAAUUAUAAGAAACUCUCAAACUUAUAAUAAUUAGGAAAAAUGUGAUUUGUCCUUGCCCUCAGCUCCUUUCAAACUUUGAUUUUAGAAAUAAAUUUGCUUGGCUAUGUCUAUUUAUGAUAUCAUAGAAGAGUUCGAUUUUAUAAAGUUAUGACUAGCACUUGCAUUUGGCAGAAACUCUAAUCCUUAUAACUAGGAAGGGAGAAAAUCUUUUCAAUCCAAACCUCUCUGAAUGUGUGUUUAAUGCCUCUAUCCCGUAAAAAAGCUGCUGCCGUUGUUGAGUCGUUGGUGCAGGACUCAUUCCGGGGCUUUCCUCAGUGUUGGCUUUGAACCAUCUCCAGCCUCUAUCCUGUUGCCUGCACACCGGGACACUUUAUCUGUGCGUGGCUUGGGCUCUGCAGCCGUCUCUGUUCUACCACGGCCCCUCCUGCGAUCUCCAGUGCUCCUCUCUACCCCUGAUGCUGGGCCUGGGCGUCCGGCAUCCCAUCCCUCCUGGCUGGGCCCUUGGUGCUCGGGACCUUCACUAAUCUGGAAGUGGGAAGUGGACAUCUGCAGAGACUGGUCCUCCUAUGCAUGAUAAUUUAGGAAACAGAGCAGAAAUUUGCCAGGCAUUACCAUUUCUAAUGAGUGACUUUCAUGCAAUUAUACUUUUUAAAGAUUAUAUAAAAAGAGACAAAUCGUGUGUCUGAAAGAUUAGCUAAAGUUGUAGUACUUUCCCACUAAAAAGAUUCUCCUAUCACUCUGGAUGGCUUUGAGAAAAGAACUAAAACAAAACAGAUCAUCAUGAAAACUAUCUAUUUCUUGUAGCAAGAGUUCACAUUAGCUUUAAUUCCAUUUUUUUUUGUAGGAAAACAAAAUGAAAACCAGUACAAUAGUGUUGUGUGUGUGGGUUAGUUUCUAAGCAACCCUCAACAAAUCUAGUGCUGCAGACACUAAGUAAUCUUCUUAGACUCUGUUUCUUUGUUUCGAGCUUUGCCAACUCGUCUAGUCCAGGCUCUGUUUCUGCUAGAGAGUCACUGAGACAGUGCAAGGCUGAUGGUGACUCUCUUCUCCUUAAAGCAAAUCUGUAAAAACAACAAUGUCCCCUUUAAACUCACGGGAACAGCCACCAUCAAGCCAGUCCAAAGUUCUGUGCAUGUUCUCUCUUUCCAGAAUGCUCCAUCGCUCUGCUUUGUGGUCCCUAGUUGCCCCCCAUGACCCACCUGAAAGGGCUCCCCUGUGAAAUCUCUCACUUUCCCCUCUCAAGUUGAGCCGAUUCUACUUGAUGCCAUAGCUGUAUACUGCACAUAACUAUUUCUCAC